RNAcentral lists this long non-coding RNA (7726 nucleotides) under Ananas comosus (pineapple). RNAcentral describes it as "long non-coding RNA (ACOM_LNC007307)". Lineage: Eukaryota; Viridiplantae; Streptophyta; Magnoliopsida; Poales; Bromeliaceae. The record is from RNAcentral.
AAUACAGGGAAUCCACUGUUCACACGGACAGAGUCUCCUCUGUAUUUGCACGGCGUCGCACAAGUACAAGAAGUCAUCUAGGCACAACCACAAUAAACGAACAUACAAAUAACCAACCGUUAUAUAUAUUCAUACACCAUUCACUACAGAUUCACAUUUAUGCAUAAAUCCACACCUAUCAGUUAAAAUGUUUCCAACCACAGAAACGGGUUUUGAAAUACUAAGAUGCAAAAUCCACAGAAACCUUUUGAAAACUGUUUCCUACACGGAAACCUUUAUUCUUUAAAAACGCUACCGCGAGGGGUAGAAAACCUUUUAUUUCAAGAAAACACAAAUCCUUUAUUACAUUCCAAAAUCAACUGAAAACUCAGAUAUUCAAAUAAUAACACAAAACUGAACCAUGUAAACCGACUAAACUAUAAAUCAACAGAAAUAAUAAGGGUAAUAACUAAAUCGAAAUAACCUGGGUCGGAAGCUCUAUCGACCGCUACACACGUACCUCACAUCUCGUCCCACUAUUCAUCGCCCGCGAUACCUGAAAAAUGGUGGGGGAGGUGAGAACAUGUAAACAUGUCUCCCCUCCCAGUAGGUACCGCAAGCCGAUGAAGGCGAGGAGUACUCACCGGAUCAGGAAGAGCUAAAUAACAACAAGGGUCAGUGGAAAUAUAGUAGCAACAAUAAUAAGGUAAAGAGCAAGUAUACCGAAUACAGUAGCAACAAUAAUAAGGUAAAGAGCAGAUAUACCGAAUACAGUAGCAAUAAACUGAAAGAAAGUAAGAACUAGACUGAAUAACGGCUACCACUACUGUAAUUGGAACCGAAAGCAUAUAUGAAUAUCUACUAUAGUAGCAAGACAACUAUAAAGUAAGAACUGUAAAUAUGCAUGCAACGACUGCUACUAUAGACAUAUGCGUCAACCGGUCAAGAAGUCCAAAAGUACUCAAUCUGAAACCAAUGCUCUCUUGGUCAGCACCGCAGACCUCAAGCCAGUGCCACUACUACUCUCCAGUGCAUAUAACCCCUCUAGGGCUCACGGGUUGUCACCAUUCAACCACUUUUCCGGAAAAGAACACUCCUUGCGGUGGAUCAGACCGCCAGUGUUCGUGAAAUGCGACGAGUAUCGGGCGAUCAAUGUAAUAUGCUCAAUGAUCAAACGUCAGCAACCAGCCGACAAUCCUGCCCCACAGGGCCCAUCGACCGCAUAGGUCAACUAGGAUGGGACAACAACGACAUCCUCUCAAACAUAUGCAAAUACUGCUCAAUGAACCACAAGGACUGACCACUCAGAUCAACUAGGAUAUGAAACUCGACCAAUCACGUCACAAGUAUAGGAUAUGAAACUCGACCAAUCACGUCACAAGUAUAGGAUAUGAGUAAAGUAUAAUCAUCCGUCGGCAACUAACCGACAAUCCCACCCCUCAGGGUAUACCGACCUCAACGGUCAUCAGACAACAAAGGUCGAGGAACUCACCGAAUAGGUCACAAAUACUGAAUACUAGAAUCGACCGACUAGAUCGCUAAUCUCACAGAUAGUCACAGAAUCGCUCUACUAUAAAUAUGAAACAGGGUAUGCAGAAUAGCUAAGUAGAGCAACAAGAAAACAUGGUAUCACAUACAGAUAGAUUAUACUCCUACACAUGAUACUAAGCAUGGAAACGUCUGAGUAGAGAUAUAAUCAAAAACAACGUGGGUUAAUGUAACGAUAGAGUGGCAAAGCUCAACAUAUAAAUAUGCACGUGAUCAAUAACAAAAGAGGCAGAUAAGAAACGAUUCACCGGCGUGCACCACACUGUACCAACGUCGGAUCGAGAGUGCACCACCUGUAAGGAUGUCCGCCUGUCUUCCCAACGUGCGAAAGUAAUGACAACCGGAACUACAGAGGGUCCACUCACCGGUUCAGUAUGUAACCCACAUAACAUCAACCACUAAAUCCGAAACCUCAACCUAAACCGUAUCGUUAAACUCACAAUUCCAAAAAUCAUAGCGCCUCGGGAAUCGCGGUUUCCGCGAAACCAAUUCACCGAACAAAUCGCGAAGUCCCGAAAACCACACCGGACUCUCCGGAGCCAGGACUUGUCCGCGAAACUCAACCGACGUCGCACUGAUCGAGCAACGACCGUUGCCACUACAUACAAUUACAUAGUGACUUUGGCAGCAAAGACCUUAACUCAUCUCCAAGACGAUGUUAUCGUCGGAUAAUUCGUUCCGACCGGGUUCCCGGAAGUGUCUAUUUCGCACACCGGAAACCCACCGCUCACUCACCCGUUCAUUUCCAAACCUCGACAAUGACCACGGGACAGCCAUACUAGGGUCUCGCGCACAAUAAAUCAUCCGAGACACCGUCGGAAUAAUCCGAAACCGAAACGCCGCUCCGUCGGCCGCUGAUUUUGCCGACAAACGCCACCGGAAUGCCCCUUCUUCCAUCUUCAAAAAGGGUCGGGCCUUGGACAAUCAAGUCCAGAGCGUCACCCAAACUCUCCAUGCUGCCAACAGCAAGCGCGAACGAACAAGGUUGCAUAAGAAGCCCGCUUCCGAAUACCCGAAAUCGCAUUAUUUCAUGCGAUUUUGGCCGCUUUAUAGUCGUUCUGCCACAAACCAGAAGUGAAAACAGCGGAAGCACGAAACACCCGCUGCACAGGUCUCGGCCUGCCGGAAACGAUGCUACAACCUUUCGGAGCAAUUCCGGGCCACAGAGGGAAGCGACGAGCAAUGCGAAACUUGCUGAGACUGCCGCGCACAGCUCAAAGAUUGCCGAUUAACUCCUAACCAGAGCUGGCAUCAGCGCGGUCGGAGCAAUGAGCACGAUGUUCAGCACGAACCCGUAGAUCAUCGUGCUCACUUUCCAGGGGUCCGGGCUGUCGGGGAGUCAUUGGUCACCGAGCAAGGGUGGCCCGAAAGCCUAAUGACUACUGUGCACGAACACCAACAACGGCGCUUACCGGAUCGGAGGAGGGCUAGGGUUGUCGCGGCGAUCCGGGAGGGGGAGCGGCCGGCCAGGGAGGGCCUGCUCGUGGCCGGUGGUUGUGGGGUUCGGGCACUGCGCUGGCGGGCGGGAGGUGGCCGUGUGGCGGCGGCCCGCAGCACAAAGCCGCCGAGUUCCUCUCGCUGUUCGAGCUCCUGGCGGCGCAGUGGCGGCGAUCCGGAUGUGAGGUCCGGGCGGCAGAUCCGGCAUGGCGAGACCGAGGGGGAAGGUGGUGCACCCUCGGUGGGCAGUGGCGCGUGGAGCGCCGAGCUGGGUCCGACCUCGGCAAUUCGCACGGGUCAUGUGGUGGCCGAUGAGUUCCAGCGGUGCCCGCCCGGGCCAGGCGUGCAGGACGCGGCGGGCGGCAAGCGGAGGUUGCUCGGGAGGUCACUGGAAGGCGAGCGCGGCCGAUGAGGGCGAGCGCAGCGGCGUGGCGCCCGCCUAGACGAGCGCCCAAGCUCUGGCCUAGGGCUGACCGCAGUAUGGCCCGCAGGACUCCGCGCGGGGCUCCGGCAGGUAUGGUAAUGGCCGGAGUCGGCGGGGAAGAUGCUCGGAGAUGCGGUGCUCGGCCACGGGGAUGUAAGCUCGGUGAACCCGAAGCUUCUUUCGCAAUCUUCGGCGAAGUCGGAGCGAAGGGUGGCCGAGAGGCAAGGAAGAUCGGGGUGGCUUGUCGGCGGCCGGGAGCUCGCCGGCCGGCCGCGGCGUUGCGACGUGUGGCAGGCGCAGAAGGUGGGGCGGCUAGGGCUCGGUUCGGCUGAGGAGAAGGCCAAAAGCUAGGGUUUCCUCACGAAACCCUAGUGCAACUACUAUUUACAUAUGCACAUUUGCAAGAUAGUCCUCCCAGGGAUAAUAUUCUCAGUCAAGUCCCUCACAGCAUGCGUAUUUUACACAUACGCACCUCCAUGUCCGAUCUCACGCAAUUCGGCACAUAAAAUAUUACGACUUUUGCGAAUUUCCCGAUUUUCCACUCUCGACCCCUUAGCGAACUUCAUGCAAUAUCCGGCAAUCCGUUCAUCGGAUUUCCGAACGGAUUGCACCAUCGCGUUCAGCACGACGAAGGCAAUGAAACUACGAUUUCGUUUCAUCCGAUUUACUUGCCGAUUUGCGACCAAACCCAACUGCUCUCCAACUAAUCCACAAAUUACACAUAGACCUAUGUAUAAACCCUAAAACCUUUAAUCCAAAUUCAAAUUUGAAUUCCCUACCACCAGUGGGUACCAGAAACAACUCUCACCUAACCCCAGGUCACAAACGUAGAGCACGAGGAGUCUCAUUAUGCAAGAACAGCAAAGAGCGAAAAUCCUCUUUUCGAUAAAAUUCCUUUUUCUCGAAAAUCGUGCAUCAGAUCUGAAAUCCGUCAGUGCCAUUGGUUCCAGAAUAGCUGAACCGAUCAAAACGAGCUAUUGGAUCGCUAUGAACAGAGUCCGAUACGCGUAGAAAGCCAACUCUACUCCGUGGCUUCACCGAAAAACCGGAGUUACUAUUCACUUAAGUGAAAACUAAUAAUCGCGUAACUUCUCCAUUUUAGCUCAUUUUCUCCUGAAACUUGACGAGUACUUAUGUAAUUAAAUUACACACAUAAACAUCAUCAACAGAGAGUUUAGUUGCACUGUAAAAAUCUCAAUCCUUACAUGAAGAAACGCUUAAUAUCAACACCUAUCCUUACCUUAUCUAUUAGUGGUGAAGGAUUCACUAUUUACAGUGAUGCCUCGAAGAAAGGAUUGGGAUGCAUCCUGAUGCAGAAUGACAAAGUGAUUGCCUAUGCUUCCUGACAGCUGAGGCUAUUCGAGGAGAACUACCCGACCCACGACCUAGAAUUGGCAACGGUAAUCUUUGCACUGAAAAUUUGGAGACAUUACCUCUACGGCGAGCCUUGUGAGAUUUUUACCGACCACAAAAGUUUAAAGUGCAUCUUCACAUAGAAAGAACUGAACAUGAGACAAAGAAGGUGGCUAGAAUUGUUGAUAGACUACAAUGUGACCAUCAAGUAUCAUCCGGGCAAAGCCAGCGUCGAGCCGAUGUCCUCAGCAGAAAAUCAAUAGGGAAUAUAGCGACAUUGGUUACUUCUCAGCAGCAUAUUUUGGAAGAUCUCAGACGGCUCGACAUAGAAAUUCGCAUCCAUGGGUAUGAAGCUCAUCUGGCUAACCUGCAGGUUCAACCUACACUGAUUGAUAGGAUCAAGUCAGCCCAAGCGAAUAUAUACAUCUUCAGAAGACUCGACAUUUAGUGGAAUCAGGAGCACAAUCGGAGUUUAGAAUUCACGAAGAUGGCUCUUUGAGAUUUAGGAACCGGUUAUGCGUUCCUAAGAAUCCAGAUUUUAAAAAUAAAAUUUUGAAGGAGGCCCAUUAUUCGGGAUAUUUAGUGCACCCUGGAGGAACAAAAAUGUACAGAGACUUGAAGAACAUCUUCUGGUGGAGUGACAUGAAAAGGGAGUUGCAGAGUUCGUGGCUAAGUGUUUGACUUGCCAGCGUGUGAAAGUUGAUAAGAAGAGAUCAGCCGGCUUACUUCAGCCCCUUCCUACUCCUGAGUGGAAAUGGGAGAGAAAAACUAUGGAUUUUGUUACUCGACUACCUAGAAGUGAGAAGGGCAAUGACGUAGUUUGGGUCAUAGUUGAUAGAUUGACUACGUCAGCGCACUUUCUGGCUGUAAAGACGGGUAUGACUUUGGAGAAACUAGCGGAGCUCUAUAUUGCACAAAUAGUAUGUCUACAUGGUGUUCCAGUUUCGAUCGUGUCUGAUCGUGAUUCAAGGUUCGUGGCUCACUUCUGGAAAGGAUUACAUAAAGCUUUGGGAACCACACUGGACUUCAGUACCGCCUUCCAUCCGCAAACAGAUGGCCAGUCCGAGAGAACGAUUCAAAUUUUCGAAGACAUGUUACGUGCUUAUGUAAUCGAUAUGAGAGGCUCUUGGAAUCAUUACCUACCAUUGGUCGAAUUUGCCUACAAUAAUAGCUUCCAGGCCAGCAUACAAAUGGCUCCCUUUGAAGCCUUGUAUGGACAGAAAUGUAGAUCCCCUCUAUGUUGGGAUGAUGUUGGUGAGAGAAAGCUACUUGGUCCGGAGAUUGUGCAACAAACUAUUGAGAAGGUUCAUUUGAUUAAGGAGCAUCUCAGAGCAGCUCAGAGUCGGCAGAAGAGCUACGCUGAUAAUCGAAGACGACCGCUCGAGUUUGAAGCCGGAGAUCGUGUCUUCUUGAACGUGUCACCCUCAAGAAGUAUUAUGCGCUUUGGAAUCCGUGGGAAGCUUAGCCCUCGUUAUGUGGGCCCUUUUGAGAUACUUGAAAGAAUUGGUGACGUAGCGUACAGACUAGCCUUACCGCCUUCUUUAGCUGGAGUGCACAACGCCUUUCAUGUAUCUAUGUUGAGAAAAUAUGUUCACGAUCCGAGCCACGUUGUAGAGCCGAAACCUUUGCAACUUAGAGAAGAUCUAUCUUAUGAUGAACGGCCGAUACGUAUUGUGGACCGAAAAGAGCAAGUUUUGAGAAGACGGGCCAUUCCAUAUAUUAAAGUCCAGUGGAGCAACCAUUCCGAACGAGAGGCUACUUGGGAACUUAAAGAACAGAUGAGGAAGAAGCACCCUCAACUCUUCGAGAGCUAAGGUGUGUUAAGUUUAGAGGACUAAACUUCUUUUAGGGGGGGGUGGUUGUAACACCCCACACUUUUAACUUCUUAUUUUGACUCCUUUUCUUUUGAAACUUGGACUUUUUUGUAAAUAUUAAGAGUAUUAGGGCUUGGCAGCAUUUUGUUUAUUUAAUCCCUAAUUUAAUUAGAUUUUUUUCCUUUUCUUUUAAUUCCGGAUGAACCCCUCCCCCAACCCGAUCAACCUUUUUCGCCUUUCCCGUACGACACUUUCUCUCUCCCCUCACCGCGUCCGUACGACUUCUGCCACUCCGCUCGUGCGCGCGCGACGCCAUCUGAUCCCUACCGUCGUCGCCGUCAUCCGUAGCGGCUUCCGCCGCAAUCCUCUUUGAUCGUUAUUUUUGGUUCGCUAUCGACGGAAUCUUGCCGUCGUCUUCACCAUUUCGAGAAGGUUUUUCUCUUUCCCUCAUUUUACCUCUAUAUCGAAUCUUGUGAUCAUCCAACCUCUCUAUUCAUCGUUAUAUUAUUAUUAUUUUGAAUACUCGUCUCUUAAUGGUUGAAAAUUGAAACCAUUAAAAUCCGAUUUCGUUAUAUCUAAUCUUCAUCGUUUGAACAGUUUAGUUUCAUAUCUUGUAUCCUCUGUAUGAUCUUGUUGCAUAAAACUUCGCACAUUCUACACAUUUUUGGAAUGCCCAUUAUAUGUUCGAUGAAACGCCUUUGAGAGGGCGAAUUUCGUUUUGUUUCUAAUUUCGAUCUCAUCUAAUUGUAAUUUGCCUAUUAAUAUUCCAACAUCUGAAAACCCUCUGUUUGAGCAUUGAAAUCUUCGUUUAUUAUUUAAAUUUCCGUUCAUGUUAUCUUCUUGGAAUAAUUUAAAUUCUCCAAAAACUCCUUCAUCCCUUUGAUCACUAUUUGAGGUUCGUCGAAUUUAUUAUUCUAAAUCCCUUUGUGCUCCGUCCCGACCUAUUUGCAUACCAUUAUAUUCUCUUUGCAUGUUCAUUUUAGUUAGCUUAUAGAGAAUCGCAUGUUUCUAUUUUAGGUUUCGAUGAUUAAUUUUCUGCGCAGUUUCGACUGGAUAAUUUCUCUCUUUAAAGCUGCGUUAAGGUAAGCGACCGGACACCCGUUAGUUUUUCGUAAGAUAAAUUAGGAAAAUAUUCCGAUUGUACCAAAUCUUAUUUUGUAGAUUUUAAAAU